CAAAAACACCUCUUAAAGAUAAUAUAAUUUUAAGUUAGGUCUGCUCCAUGAAAAAUCUUAAAUAGCUGCAGAAAUGCACUAAGGUAGCAUAAUCAAUUGUUUUUUAAUUGAAAACUAGAAUGAAAGGCUUAAUAAAUAUUAAAAUUAAUUAAAUUACUAAGUAAAAUUUAAAUUUUAAUAAAAAUGUUAAAAAAGCUUUUAGGGACGAGAAGACCCUAGAAGCUUAAACCUAUAAAAGCGUUGGCUAAGAAAAGGUUUUAAUUGGGGCAAUAAUUUAAGUGUCAAAUUUAAAUAAUUUUAUUUAUUAAACUAUUAAUCUAGAACCAUAAAUUUUGAUUGUAGCAAAGUUACUUUAGGGAUAACAGCAUAAUUAGUAUUUUAGAGUCCUUAUCGAUAAUACUGGUUAUGACCUCGAUGUUGAAUUACUUUUCUAAUUAAUGAAGCCGUUAAUUAAGAAGGUCUGUUCGACCUACAAAUAAGUACAUGAUCUGAG
Molecule: ribosomal RNA, 493 nt
Filed under: Siro sp. 1 AL-2022a
Lineage: Eukaryota; Metazoa; Arthropoda; Arachnida; Opiliones; Sironidae
Description: partial large subunit ribosomal RNA
Source: RNAcentral